RNAcentral lists this ribosomal RNA (390 nucleotides) under Clostridioides difficile. RNAcentral describes it as "bacterial SSU rRNA". It matches the Rfam family "Bacterial small subunit ribosomal RNA", at positions 167 to 575 of the family's 1533-position model. Lineage: Bacteria; Bacillati; Bacillota; Clostridia; Peptostreptococcales; Peptostreptococcaceae. The record is from RNAcentral.
UACGGGAUAAUAUAUUUGAGAGGCAUCUCUUGAAUAUCAAAGGUGAGCCAGUACAGGAUGGACCCGCGUCUGAUUAGCUAGUUGGUAAGGUAACGGCUUACCAAGGCGACGAUCAGUAGCCGACCUGAGAGGGUGAUCGGCCACAUUGGAACCGAGACACGGUCCAAACUCCUACGGGAGGCAGCAGUGGGGAAUAUUGCACAAGGGGCGAAAGCCUGAUGCAGCAACGCCGCGUGAGUGAUGAAGGCCUUCGGGUCGUAAAACUCUGUCCUCAAGGAAGAUAAUGACGGUACUUGAGGAGGAAGCCCCGGCUAACUACGUGCCAGCAGCCGCGGUAAUACGUAGGGGGCUAGCGUUAUCCGGAUUUACUGGGCGUAAAGGGUGCGUAGG